GAGCUUCAGCAGCACACAUAUUAAAAUUGAAAUAAUACAAAGAAGAUUAACGUGGCCCCUGCACAAGGGUGACACAUAAAUUUGUGAAACAUUUCCUACUGAA
Molecule: small nuclear RNA, 103 nt
Organism: Meriones unguiculatus (Mongolian gerbil)
Lineage: Eukaryota; Metazoa; Chordata; Mammalia; Rodentia; Muridae
Source: Ensembl